GAGUUUGAUCAUGGCUCAGAACGAACGCUGGCGGCGGGCCUCAUACAUGCAAGUCGAGCGCGAAAGUCCGCAAGGAUGAGUAAAGCGGCGCACGGGUGAGUAACACGUGGAUAAUCUACCUCUUGGAUUGGAAUAACCUGUCGAAAGACGGGCUAAUGCCGAGUAAGCUUACGAGUUCGUGGAGUUCUUGUAAGGAAAGAUGGCGCAAGCUAUCGCCGAGAGAUGAGUCUGCGUCCCAUUAGUUAGUUGGUGAGGUAAUGGCUUACCAAGACAAUGAUGGGUACCUGGUCUGAGAGGAUGAUCAGGCACACUGGAACUGAAACACGGUCCAGACUCCUACGGGAGGCAGCAGUAGGGAAUAUUGCGCAAUGGGCGAAAGCCUGACGCAGCCACGCCGCGUGAGUGAGGAAGGCCU
RNAcentral lists this ribosomal RNA (415 nucleotides) under uncultured delta proteobacterium. RNAcentral describes it as "bacterial SSU rRNA". It matches the Rfam family "Bacterial small subunit ribosomal RNA", at positions 9 to 417 of the family's 1533-position model. Lineage: Bacteria; Deltaproteobacteria. The record is from RNAcentral.